CGCGGAGUCCCGGGAACGCGGGGGAGGUGGCCGUGCAGUUUCUGGCACUAACUCGGGCGUCCUCCCGAAGCCUUAGUUCCGCCGCGAGUAACGACACAGAAGUAAGGAAGAAGUCUGCACCGGCUCUACGGGUGAACUGAGAUUCAGCAUAAUCCAGUGAGCACGUCUCCUAGAUGCUAUGGACUCCUUGUCCCAGGACGAGACCAGGGCAGGAGCCCCAGUUCGCCUGGGUAUGGAAGUGGUACUUCUAGAAAGGUGACUCUGACUGCAGCCAGGGUUGAGAACUCCUGGAUCUGAUGAUACUCUCCAACGUCCCUCUCCUGUCUCCACCUGAAUUUCUCCAUCUGUAAAAAGAACACUUUGGGCAAGUUCAUCAGUCUCUCAGCUUCUCUUAUUUCUGGGACUCGAGACCUCCCUGAGACUCAGUGAUUCAAACACGCGGGGCUUUGUCAGAGGAGGAACCACGGCUCCCAGGAAGGCCCUCGGCAUGGGGUCCACCUGCACUUGAGUGAAGCGCGGGAUGGGAGCUGGGGUUUGAGGCCUGAGCAGACAAGUGCUGCAUGAGAACCAGGCCCCGUGGACGGAGCUGCCAAGGUUGGGACUUGGCACAGAGGAGGCCGUGUCUCAACUCGCAUGAGUGGCCUGACGCUUCGGGGCAGCUCCUCAGCCUCGCCAGGCACCUGCGGGGCCGGGGCUUUUUGGCAGGUGAGGAGGAGAGAGCAGAAUAGGGUGUUUCUCCAGCUGUUCCCCGGAACAACAUCUCUUGACACCUGGCGAGACGAGGGCUGGAAAAGAUAAGCCACUGCGUGUUCCUGUGAAGCCUUGCGGAUGGGGAGGCAGGAGAGGGAGUUGGUGCUGAAGCGCCACUUUCCAGCCCUGCGUCUGGAGUUUAGCAUGUUCCGGGCACUGUGAAUGAGACCGGCUGACGCUUUGUAUCAGAUGUAAAGUGGCUUCUUUUCACACACUGGCACUGAAGGCAGAUGACCGCUCAGGCAGGAUGCAGAGCUCUCCGGGAGCUUGGCAGGGCCGACCAAGGCCCUGAAUCGCAGCUCUAUGGGGCAGCGGGGACAAUGCUGCCCGCUCUGAGAAGUGGGCACCGGAGAGCAGGAUUCCCAAGCCUGGAGGGGAUGAAGUUCCCCUGUUAGGGACCAAUGAGCUGCUUUUGCCACCACGCACCCUUCCUGGAGCCCAGGUCUGAAGUGCGAGGACCACAUAUUCCACACCACUCUGAGACCUGAGGUCUCAGUUCUAGAGACUGGAAACCAAAAUUCUGGAAUGUCCAGGAUAACCCCACCAUUUACAAGAACCAUAGGAGGGAAUACUAUAAGGAUCGUCCCUGAAAAUCUGAG
This 1349-nucleotide long non-coding RNA is filed under the name Equus caballus (horse). Its description in RNAcentral is "lncRNA (ENSECAG00000051713.1)". Lineage: Eukaryota; Metazoa; Chordata; Mammalia; Perissodactyla; Equidae. The record is from RNAcentral.